GAUGAACGCUGGCGGCGUGCCUAAUACAUGCAAGUCGAGCGAACAGACGAGGAGCUUGCUUCUCUGACGUUAGCGGCGGACGGGUGAGUAAAACGUGGAUAACCUACCUAUAAGACUGGGAUAAAUUCGGGAAACCGGAGCUAAUAACGGAUAAUCUAUUGAACCGCAUGGUUCAAUAGUGAAAGACGGUUUUGCUGUCACUUAUAGAUGGAUCCGCGCCGCAUUAGCUAGUUGGUAAGGUAACGGCUUACCAAGGCAACGAUGCGUAGCCGACCUGAGAGGGUGAUCGGCCACACUGGAACUGAGACACGGUCCAGACUCCUACGGGAGGCAGCAGUAGGGAAUCUUCCGCAAUGGGCGAAAGCUUGACGGAGCAACGCCGCGUGAGUGAUGAAGGUCUUCGGAUCGUAAAACUCUGUUAUUAGGGAAGAACAAAUGUGUAAGUAACUAUGCACGUCUUGACGGUACCUAAUCAGAAAGCCACGGCUAACUACGUG
This 497-nucleotide ribosomal RNA is filed under the name uncultured bacterium. RNAcentral describes it as "partial 16S ribosomal RNA". It matches the Rfam family "Bacterial small subunit ribosomal RNA", at positions 28 to 507 of the family's 1533-position model. The record is from RNAcentral.